GUGCAUUUAGAGUACAUCUGCCUCUACAACUGUACGGAACAGUCUAGCUGUGUGACUAUAUUUGUCCUCUCUCUCUCUCUCUCUCUCUCUCUCUCUCUCUCUCUCUCUCUCUCUCUCUCUCUCUCUUGCAAGGGGACAGGAGCGUCAAGAGUUGGACGGCUGCCAAAAGAGGCCGGCCCGCCGUGCAGCUGAAACUUUUACAAGCCAAGCAGGAAGAGACACAGGGAGCGAUCAAAGAAGAAAAGGAGCAAAAGAAAAAGGCUGAGUGUGAGCAGACGUCCCUCUGUCACCCCUGUGUGCCGACAGACGCACUCACGCCAGUAGGAGGGGAUUGUGGGAAAGGGGUGUAGCACUCAGAGGGUGUGCUCUACUCCUCUCUUUUCCCUUCUUCCCGCCAUCACGGCCCUCUUCUCCUCCAGUCCUCCGGCCCAGCCCGCCGCUCAUGUUCAAGCUCCAGGAGAGUUACCUUUGCGGAUCUUUGGUGCUGAAGCAACGUGGAUGCUGUCCUUGGGGCUGAGGUAGUAGAUUGAAUAGUUGUGGGGUUGUGUAACCUCUUUAUGAGAUAACUAUACAAUCUACUGUCUUUCCCAAGGAGACAGCAAAGUCAGCUGCUCGCCGACUGUCGUCUCCAAUCAGGCAACGUGCUGUCCAAUCAAAACAGACGCUCGCAGCCAUCAACAUAAUCCGCUCUGACAAAGAAUUGUUGUGUGUUCUUUUUCCAACUCGAGAGCAGCUAAAUAAGGCGUCUUGUUCACCAAAUGGAUGUGAACGUGUGGCGUGUUUGUUUUGGGCUCUCUCAGGGUGAGGUAGUAGGUUGUAUAGUUUGGUGGGUGGGAUAGCAACCUGCUCAGGUGAUAACUAUACAGUCUAUUGCCUUCCCCGAGGAGCUCACUGAACACUCAUGAAUGUUCGACACGCUCUCACGGCCGGGUUUCACCUUUAAUCGUAGAAGCAGAAAUGUAGUAAUGUAUUUAAAAUGUGUACAUCUGAAUAAAGUCAUACUUUGUCUCAAAUUUGUCCAACAAUAAAUGACUGACAUCUUGAAA
Long non-coding RNA from Labrus mixtus (cuckoo wrasse), 1046 nucleotides. RefSeq lists it as uncharacterized. NCBI's taxonomy places the organism in Eukaryota, Metazoa, Chordata, Actinopteri, Labriformes, Labridae. The record is from RefSeq and is a predicted model, not a curated record. The transcript has 3 exons.